RNAcentral lists this ribosomal RNA (398 nucleotides) under uncultured bacterium. Its description in RNAcentral is "partial 16S ribosomal RNA". It matches the Rfam family "Bacterial small subunit ribosomal RNA", at positions 338 to 733 of the family's 1533-position model. The record is from RNAcentral.
CCUACGGGUGGCAGCAGUGAGGAAUAUUGGUCAAUGGCCGAACGUCUGAACCAGCCAAGUCGCGUGAAGGACGAAGGUGCCAAGCGUUGUAAACUUCUUUUAUAUGGGAAUAAAAUGAUCCACGUGGGGGAUUCUGUGUGUACCAUAUGAAUAAGGAUCGGCUAACUCCGUGCCAGCAGCCCCGGUAAUACGGAGGUUCCGAGCGUUAUCCGGAUUUAUUGGGUUUAAAGGGAGCGUAGGGGGAUUGUUAAGUCAGUUGGGAAAGUUUGGGGCCUAACCGGAACAGUGCAGUUGAAACUGGCAGUCUUGAGUACAGGAGAGGUGUGCGGAAUUCGUGGUGUAGCGGUGAAAUGCUUAGAUAUUGCGAAGAACUCCGAUUGCGAAGGCAGCUCACUGGA